UAAAAGAAAAGGAAUCAUCAUUAAAAUGAUUUGCGAAGCACUGGUGUAUGUAAUAAAGAAAUUGAUCAUAAAUGGUAACACAAGGUUUCCAUAUAUAAAGGGGGCUCCAGGCUUCUGAGAAUAAGCACCAAGAUCAGUUUGUUCAACUGAACUCUUCUAGGCGGUGCUCCAGCAUGGUCACUGUCCUUUGC
Long non-coding RNA from Octopus sinensis (East Asian common octopus), 191 nucleotides. RefSeq lists it as uncharacterized. The record is from RefSeq and is a predicted model, not a curated record. Lineage: Eukaryota; Metazoa; Mollusca; Cephalopoda; Octopoda; Octopodidae. The transcript has 3 exons.